RNAcentral lists this long non-coding RNA (1936 nucleotides) under Brachypodium distachyon (stiff brome). Its description in RNAcentral is "long non-coding RNA (BDIS_LNC001046)". The record is from RNAcentral. Lineage: Eukaryota; Viridiplantae; Streptophyta; Magnoliopsida; Poales; Poaceae.
AUUCAAAAUGUUUUGUCUGUAGCUAAAUAGUUUGAUGACGUGCCUCUAAUUAUGGGUUAUCAAAUUUAGUCUACCCAUAUGCAUAACACGUAAGAGAAGGGGUUAAUUUUUUUUUCUUUUACAGCAAGUGGUGGAGUAAUUUGUUGGUCAAUAAUUUUGUCUAUAGCUAAAUGCAUAUACAGGAUCAUACUAGUUCUUUUAAUAUAUUUUCCAACUAAAUUAUUAUGCUGCUAUAUAUUUGUUCCCUGGCGUCAAUAAUGUUCUCAUUAAGGAAAACAGGAGGGGGUGACUGCAGUAUUUUGUUUUUUAGAGUAUCACCUGAUUUCGCCUCCGCGAGGAUUCGAGUCUAGAGACCGGGGGCAUACAUUUACUUGCUCAACUAAAUGAGUUAGUGGCGCUUCACAUAUUGUUGUAUUGCCGUGCAAAAGAGCAAUAUAACUGUAUUUCUUGAUUCAUUUCACCCUGUUUCACUAUGCACUAGGGAUUUAGGUAAUAUUGGAACUUAUUUUUUUUUCAAUAUAAAACUUCAUCUUCAGCAUAUUUGCAAGGUCACGAUCUAGAAGAAAACUGAAAUAUAACAAAAUCACGUACAUACUACUUUGUGCUAUUUUUCGUUAUUUUUUUUUGGCAAGAUCAAGUCAUCUUAACAUCCACAGAAGAACGAACACAUACGUAUGCUUCGGUGCACUAGACAAGAAGUGACCACAUACAUCAUGCAUGCAAUGGAAAUUUGCCGAGAUAUAUAGAGGAAAAAUAAUGAGUCAUGUACACGAGUAAUGUACAUAGAGAUACAUAUAGGAAAAAUAAUGAGUCACGGCACACGAGUAAUGUACAAUAAUCACAAAAGUAGAAAUACUCAUCAUGCGUGCAUGAAACAACAUGAAUUAAGAACAUAAUACAAGAAAUACAAAAAGGAUGCAUCAUCUCUAUCUAGACAUAGCCUGAUGCGAUGUCAAGCCACUUAUUCAAGAGAUAGCACGCUGUGGCGAUACAUAGCUAGCUCCAUCCAGGUGUCUCCUCAUUCAAUUGUCAUAUAUGUAUAGAGAGAGAGGAAGAGAUCAACUGUCGGUUGUCGGCGGUUUGCGCUUCGGUGGCGGCUCAGGCUUUGGUUCGGGUUUGGGUUCUGGUUUAGGCAUCGGUUCAGGCUUGGGCUCGGGUUUUGGUUCAGGUUUAGGCAUGGGCUUAGGCAUGGGCUCAGGCUUUGGUUCUGGUUUAGGCAUUGGCUUAGGCUUGGGUUCGGGUUUUGGCUCUGGUUUGGGCAUUGGCUCAGGCUUGGGUUCUGGUUUAGGCAUGGGCUCAGGCUUUGGUUCCGGUUUAAUUGGCUCAGGCUUCGGUUCCGGCUUAGGCAUUGGCUCGGGCUUGGGCUCAGGUUUUGGCUCAGGUUUAGGCAUUGGCUCGGGUUUGGGCUCAGGUUUAGGCUCAGGUUUAGGCACUGGCUCAGGCUUAGGCUCGGGUUUAGGCUCAGGUUUAGGCACUGGCUUAGGCAUGGGCUCGGGUUUUGGUUCCGGUUUAGGCAUUGGCUCAGGUUUGGGCUCGGGUUUAGGCUCGGGUUUAGGCAUUGGCUUAGGCAUGGGCUCGGGUUUUGGUUCCGGUUUGGGCAUGGGCUCUGGUUUUGGCUCGGGUUUUGGCAUUGGCUUAGGCAUGGGCUCUGGUUUUGGUUCCGGUUUAGGCAUCGGCUCAGGUUUCGGCUCUGGUUUAGGCAUUGGUUUGGGCAUUGGUUCCGGCUUGGGCUCUGGCUUCGGCUCGGGCUUGGGCAUGGGUUCAGGUUUGGGCUCAGGUUUCGGUCCCGGUUUGGGCAUUGGUUCUGGCUUCGGCUCAGGUUUCGGUUCAGGUUUAGGCAUGGGUUCAGGUUUCGGUUCAGGUUUUGGCUCUGGUUUUGGCAUGGGCUUGGGCUCCGGUUUUGGCAUGGGUUUUGGUUCCGGCUUUGGCUCUGGCU